This 500-nucleotide ribosomal RNA is filed under the name uncultured bacterium. Its description in RNAcentral is "partial 16S ribosomal RNA". It matches the Rfam family "Bacterial small subunit ribosomal RNA", at positions 30 to 523 of the family's 1533-position model. The record is from RNAcentral.
AUUGAACGCUGGCGGCAUGCCUUACACAUGCAAGUCGAACGGCAGCACGGGAGCAAUCCUGGUGGCGAGUGGCGAACGGGUGAGUAAAGUAUCGGAACGUGCCCAGUCGUGGGGGAUAACGUAGCGAAAGUUACGCUAAUACCGCAUACGAUCUAUGGAUGAAAGCGGGGGAUCGCAAGACCCCGCGCGAUUGGAGCGGCCGAUAUCAGAUUAGGUAGUUGGUGGGGUAAAGGCUCACCAAGCCGACGAUCUGUAGCUGGUCUGAGAGGACGACCAGCCACACUGGGACUGAGACACGGCCCAGACUCCUACGGGAGGCAGCAGUGGGGAAUUUUGGACAAUGGGCGAAAGCCUGAUCCAGCCAUGCCGCGUGCAGGAUGAAGGCCUUCGGGUUGUAAACUGCUUUUGUACGGAACGAAAAGGUUUGGCCUAAUAAGCUGAGCUCAUGGCGGUACCGUAAGAAUAAGCACCGGCUAACUACGUGCCAGCCGCCGCAGUAA